CUCGGUGGUCAUAGCGGAGGGGAAACACCCGGUCCCAUUCCGAACCCGGAAGUUAAGCCCUCCAGCGCCGAUGGUACUGCAGGGGAGGCCCUGUGGGAGAGUAGGACACUGCCGGAC
Molecule: ribosomal RNA, 117 nt
Filed under: Thermasporomyces composti
Lineage: Bacteria; Bacillati; Actinomycetota; Actinomycetes; Propionibacteriales; Nocardioidaceae
Source: RNAcentral